GAUGAACGCUAGCGGGAGGCUUAACACAUGCAAGUCGAGGGGCAGCAUAGGGUAGCAAUACUCUGAUGGCGACCGGCAAACGGGUGAGUAACGCGUAUGCAACCUACCCUGUACAGGGGGAUAACCCGGAGAAAUUCGGACUAAUAUCCCGUAAUAAUAUCCGGAGGCAUCUUUGGAUAUUUAAAGUUUCGACGGUACGGGAUGGGCAUGCGUAACAUUAGCUGGUUGGUAAGGUAACGGCUUACCAAGGCUAUGAUGUUUAGGGGUCCUGAGAGGGUGGUCCCCACACUGGUACUGAGACACGGACCAGACUCCUACGGGAGGCAGCAGUGAGGAAUAUUGGUCAAUGGGCGCAAGCCUGAACCAGCCAUCCCGCGUGCAGGAAGACGGCCCUAUGGGUUGUAAACUGCUUUUCCAGGGAGAGAAACUUACGCACGUGUUGCGUGACUGACGGUACCCUGGGAAUAAGCAUCGGCUAACUCCGUGCCAGCAGCCGCGGUAAACGUAGCGUG
This 512-nucleotide ribosomal RNA is filed under the name uncultured bacterium. Its description in RNAcentral is "bacterial SSU rRNA". It matches the Rfam family "Bacterial small subunit ribosomal RNA", at positions 28 to 534 of the family's 1533-position model. The record is from RNAcentral.